This 503-nucleotide ribosomal RNA is filed under the name uncultured bacterium. RNAcentral describes it as "partial 16S ribosomal RNA". It matches the Rfam family "Bacterial small subunit ribosomal RNA", at positions 30 to 523 of the family's 1533-position model. The record is from RNAcentral.
AUUGAACGCUGGCGCCAGGCUUAGCACAUGCAAGUCGAGCGGGGUGAUGGUGCUUGCACUAUCACUUAGCGGCGGACGGGUGAGUAAUGCUUAGGAAUCUGCCUAUUAGUGGGGGACAACAUCUCGAAAGGGAUGCUAAUACCGCAUACGUCCUACGGGAGAAAGCAGGGGAUCACUUGUGACCUUGCGCUAAUAGAUGAGCCUAAGUCGGAUUAGCUAGUUGGUGGGGUAAAGGCCUACCAAGGCGACGAUCUGUAGCGGGUCUGAGAGGAUGAUCCGCCAAACUGGGACUGAGACACGGCCCAGAGUCCUACGGGAGGCAGCAGUGGGGAAUAUUGGACAAUGGGGGGAACCCUGAUCCAGCCAUGCCGCGUGUGUGAAGAAGGCCUUAUGGUUGUAAAGCACUUUAAGCGAGGAGGAGGCUCUUUUGGUUAAUACCCAAGAUGAGUGGACGUUACUCGCAGAAUAAGCACCGGCUAACUCUGUGCCAGCCGCCGCCGUAA